Long non-coding RNA from Chroicocephalus ridibundus (black-headed gull), 2249 nucleotides. RefSeq lists it as uncharacterized. The record is from RefSeq and is a predicted model, not a curated record. The transcript has 4 exons. Lineage: Eukaryota; Metazoa; Chordata; Aves; Charadriiformes; Laridae.
CCUCUCCCCGCCCGCCCUUCCCUCCUCACAGGCGCGGGGCCAGGCGGGAAAGCGCCGGUUGGAGCCGCCGGUGCCCCUUCAGGAACCGUAACGCCCCCGGACGGCGCGGGGGGGAGAGCUGGGGGCUGGAGGUGAGAGGAUGGCUGAGGAAGAAGGAAGUUCGUUGCCUUCUCGUGGUUUCACCUCAGUGGGGCUCGUAUCCCGCGGUUCGCAAGCGCAUCGUCCUUGUUAUGGAGCGCGCUGUUCUUCCUUAGGAACGGGAUGCCUUCCAGAAGUCUGGUGGACUAAAUGAUAACCAUGGUAUUAACAGGAGUACUCAAAGAAAAGAAGGCCGUUGCAGAGAAGGUCAUAAACUAUUUGAAUCAGUGGAUAUCCUGGAAAUGGAAGGGAUGUUGAAGAGAGAAUGGAUGAAACUGAUAAAAUGAACAGUAGGAAACCACUAGGACCAGAUGGAAAUUGCUAACAGGUCACCCUGAAGAAGGGAUUCUGCAUGAAUGUGCAGGGAUGAACCUGGUCUCAAAGCCUGAAAACACCCUACUCGCUAACGAAUGCCUUCGCGGGUAAAGCAGAACGGAUGCCUGCAGAUCCCCUACCAGACAUUCUGUGACAGGAACAUUUCAGAAGGAAAAUGAAAUGCCUCUCUCUGGAGGCUCACAGGAGUUCUGCACUGCUGCAGCCUUUUCUCAUGGAGCCAACUUGGAGCUCAAACCUACUGUUAUCCCUCUCAUCCUGAUGUAUUUUCUCCUGUUUGUCCAAUCGGGCAUCAUUUUUGCUGACGAAUAGCAGUCUGAAAUACGGGCUCCACUAUGCUGCUUGAAGAUCUUACUUUUUAAAACAGCUCCAUUUAAUUUUUAGACCCUUUUUGUAAAUUAGGAGUGCUGUGGCAAUCCAGAUAUCCUUUACAGCCUUCCGAUCUCCUGUGGAACCAUCAAAAAUUUCAGCUGUGGUAGGUCUCGUUUUGCGCUUGAUUUCUGCAGGGCUUCACCCUGCUAUUUGCACGCAGCAAAGCGAUAGUUUUCUUCCAUAGCGGCUGGAAUAAAUUUCUCAGAACUUCUAAUUUGUCCCAUUGAGGGCCAAGGUCUGGGGAAAAUUUAACUGCUGCAACCCCUGUAGUUAUUAUGGUCAGAAAUAUAAUUCUAACUGGUCAGAAAUAUAAUUCUAAGUGGCGGUGGAAAGAAACUGAGACAGCUAAAACGGUAGAGCAAGACAUCAGCAGUGUCAAGCAUUAAAGCCUCUUGGUUUUAAAAUAACAGCCCUUCUAUCUUUGCCUUUUCCUCUCUUUGAGAGGGCUCCACCUCUCAGGAUUCUGCAUUUUGAGGUACUGUCUUCUGGGCGAGUAGGAACAGACGUGAUUGCUCUCCCAGAAACAGCUUUUUAGUAAAGUAGCUUUAGAGUCGUUGCUGACCCACAAAUGCUGGAUGUAAUCCUGCCUCUCUGCUUGCCGACACAUCCCAACCAAGGGAAGACGACAGGUCCGCGUGGCAGUUCGCACGCAGGCAUGGCAGCAGAUAAAACCCGAGGUGUUCCAUGGCCCACCAAGAGGUAGAGAUUUGACGGAGGGCCCAGGUGAGCCUCAGGGUGUCUUCAGCUGCCGGAGGGGCUUAGGACAGCAGCGUCCCAUGGCUCAGGAGGGUGGGAGCUGGCAGAGUCUGGGGCUGUCCUGAAGCCACACGGUGCCCCUGCAGCCCCGGGGCAGACGUACCCUUAGAGACAGGUACAAUUCUUGACAUGGAAUUACUGUUUUGUGACAGACAGAGAGAGGUACCUGACAGUUGUGAAGUUCUGUGCUCUGCUUGCCAACAGCCGAAGCCUCCAGCUGGUAGUGCCAUACACCUGUGCCGGCCCGGCUGUGGUGUGUUUCCGUGCGGGGAAGGGGUUCGGAUGAGUAUUGCCACCUUCUGCUCCCCCGGCUAGGAGGAGAUCGGGGGACGUGAGCUGAGGGGGAUCUGCCGCGCACGGACCAAGUCCCUGCUGUGGGUGCUUGGACCAGGCGUCCAGGGCUUGGCAAUUUGCUGGUAACGCUGAAAGCUCCAUCAUACUUAAUAUAAACCUGCCUAAUCCUUCCUCGGCUGGAACCCUUCCUGGCCGCCGGCAUUGAGAAGCAGCUCGUUUCUCCAUUCGCUGCCUUUUUUUUCCCUUUUGCCUGGUGAGUCUGGAUCACCGGCGGGUGAGACUACCGAGUCAAUUAAAUAUGGAAUCGGCAAAACAGCAAGUUAAAUGAAACAAAUAAAGCACACGAUCUUGAUGAA